CGGCGCUUCAUCCACGUCCUGGAGCAGAACCAGAGCGACUUCGUGGAGGAGGCGGAGGUGCUGCGGCUGCGGGAGGAGGUGGCCAAAAGGAUCCGUGCGAGCCAACAGCUGGAGGGCGACCUGAGCCUCAUGGACAUCCAGAUCGGGCUGCUGGUCCGGAACCGCGUCACGCUGCAGGAGGUGGUGUCCCAGUGCAGGAAGCUGACCAGGAAGAACCGGGAGCAGCUGUCGGAGCUGAUGUGCCUGGACAAG
This 252-nucleotide long non-coding RNA is filed under the name Gallus gallus (chicken). Lineage: Eukaryota; Metazoa; Chordata; Aves; Galliformes; Phasianidae. The record is from RNAcentral.